Molecule: long non-coding RNA, 556 nt
Organism: Micropterus dolomieu (smallmouth bass)
Lineage: Eukaryota; Metazoa; Chordata; Actinopteri; Centrarchiformes; Centrarchidae
Exons: 3
Source: RefSeq, a predicted model, not a curated record
UGCUUCUGCAGACAUGUCAAGAUAACUAUUUUUGAGGCAUACAUGACAUUCAACAGCACCUUUGGUAUUUCCUGUGGCAGCUCCAAUAAUGCUGCUGUGAGCUUAUCUAUAAAGGCAUUGGUUUAUUUCAGUCUUAACCUUCAAUAGAAACACUGAAAAGCAAUGUCCUUCUGCUAUUCCUCAUAUGUUAGAACUAAUUCAAAUUCAAGAGUUUGCAGAGUGUGUGAGUGAAAAUACAGUGGGAUCUGUGAGAAGAUCCAAGCUUUGGUCAACGUAAGUCAAGAAAUGGCAAUCUUCUGGAUGGAAAUGGAAAUCCAUACCAUGGCAGACCUUUGAAGAGGAAAUCAUUGACAGCUUGCUUCUCUAUAAUCUAUUUAGAUAGGGACUAACUGACCGGACUGCCAAAAACUGCGCUAAGGAACUGGUGGAUAUGGCAAGUUCUCACCCAGGCUGUGCAGAUACAGUACGGUCAUUAAAUAAAUGCAUCCGUAUGCCUCAACCUGCAUCUUAAUUAAUGUCUUUGUGCUAUACAGCAAUACCAGUCUGGGGCAUCUGC